CGCAGGCCUGGUCGGCAGGUUCCGGCGACCGGGUGCUGGUGCACUCCUCGGUGGCGUUCGACGCGUCCACCUACGA
Molecule: transfer RNA, 76 nt
Filed under: Nocardia brasiliensis
Lineage: Bacteria; Bacillati; Actinomycetota; Actinomycetes; Mycobacteriales; Nocardiaceae
Description: tRNA-???(gg)
Source: RNAcentral